ACCAGUCAGAUAUCACAAUAGCUAGCGUCAGCUGCGUGAACAGAUAUUUUUCUCUUCUCUUUUUUCUUCUUUUUUCUUGUCAGUUUUCUGCUCCUUGGAAUUGAGCUGGGACCUGCUGACGCUGAACGAUGAAGCCAUUGGAUCGACGUGUGUUGAUGGUCUCCAAGUCCAAAACUAGGUGCUCAUUGGAAACUGCUACGGAAUAGAGUGGGUCGUUUGCAUUUCAUUUCAAUGCAUCCCAGGAACGAAUAAUAGGAGGGCUGUCUCGGUCUUCCUCCGCCAACUCUACAAGAUGAUAAAUAUAGAACAUUGCCGCUUUCCCCUCUAUUACUCAUCCUACCCAUUUCUAUACCUACCAUCAAGAGGC
This 367-nucleotide small RNA is filed under the name Histoplasma ohiense. RNAcentral describes it as "hypothetical lncRNA". Lineage: Eukaryota; Fungi; Ascomycota; Eurotiomycetes; Onygenales; Ajellomycetaceae. The record is from RNAcentral.